This is a non-coding RNA of Nicotiana tabacum (common tobacco), 1164 nucleotides long. The record is from RefSeq and is a predicted model, not a curated record. Lineage: Eukaryota; Viridiplantae; Streptophyta; Magnoliopsida; Solanales; Solanaceae.
GCCACUUCGCUACCGUGUCACAAUGUCAAGCACCACUGUGCUCUCUUGGUUAAUCUGUUUUCUCUCUCCCCACGCCAACGUUCAAAGUUUUGUUAUUCCAAGAUUCAUAUCAGCAGGUACUGCUGGAAGACCAUAUGACUUUGGCAUUGAAGCUUCUGUAUUUGUUGGUUUGUACAUCAAAAGCAUUCUACUGACUUAAAAUGACAAAAUAUUAGAGAAAUAGAUGGCUUAUAAAGAGUAACAUUUCUGUGAUAACUCUAUAAUCUUCUAUUUCUCUUUUGGACACAAGCUCAUUCCUUGCGGAUAUUGUCACUAUACCUCAAUUUAUAAUAGCAAAGCUUUGUUCAUGUUGGGCUCGGGCAAAGCCCGGGCUACCCUUACUAGUUCUAAAUAUAUAAAAGAGCGCAGAAGUUGCUCACCGUCGACAUCCCUGCUUAGACACAUGGGUAUUUAAGUAUUUUCACAUACCUUCUGUGUCUCCUGCCCUUACAAGUGUGCUGAAUUUUGAGUCCAAAAUGGAAUCCGUCUUGCUUGGAGGAAGAAGCUGGAGAAUUGAAUGUCUGACUGUGCCCGGAUAUCCUACACUUUUUCAGUAGUUAUGAUUAAUAAAUACUUAUCUUUUGAUCAAUCAGAAUACAUGUUUAUGUGUGUAAUCCCAAAUGACGCCUCUUCAGAUGUUGGCAUUAUCUCUAAAAUGUGAUUUAUGAGGAAAUAAAGUGCAAUUGGUGAAAAGAGCAACUGAAGGAGCGUUUUGUAAUUUAUUCUUCACUUAAUUUCUCUCAUUAUUAACACCCUGUUUAUAUCUCUGUUUAAAUUUCUUUUUUCAGUGCAAAAUUGGAAAGUUGAAGAAAAUGAGUGGAGAUCAACACAUGGAUAUGCAUUACAUGAACAAUAUGGGGUUUAUUCCGUUACCAUAACAUAAAAUACGUGUACUUCAGCUGAAUAUUGUACUUUUUGUACUGAGAAAUAGUAUUUGUCAAAGUGAAACAUACUAUAGUUGGAAGUGUUUGUUCUGCCGCUCGAAAAGAGUAACGAGCUUUUCUGCUUAUUCCAUUCUUUCAUUUUAUCCCAGCCAUCUCUCAACCCAUUAGCAAGUAUACACUGCUAUACUUUCAGCAGAGAAGAUACCAACUCCAUUCAUAUGCUGACAUGUUUUUUCAUUGC